Molecule: ribosomal RNA, 571 nt
Filed under: Rhodotorula sp. IGC 5380
Lineage: Eukaryota; Fungi; Basidiomycota; Microbotryomycetes; Sporidiobolales; Sporidiobolaceae
Also listed under: 1 other name
Description: eukaryotic LSU rRNA
Rfam family: Eukaryotic large subunit ribosomal RNA
Source: RNAcentral
AAACUAACAAGGAUUCCCCUAGUAGCGGCGAGCGAAGCGGGAAGAGCUCAAAUUUAUAAUCUGGCACCUUCGGUGUCCGAGUUGUAAUCUCUAGAAGUGUUUUCCGCGUUGGACCGCACACAAGUCUGUUGGAAUACAGCGGCAUAGUGGUGAGACCCCCGUAUAUGGUGCGGACGCCCAACGCUUUGUGAUACACUUUCGAAGAGUCGAGUUGUUUGGGAAUGCAGCUCAAAUUGGGUGGUAAAUUCCAUCUAAAGCUAAAUAUUGGCGAGAGACCGAUAGCGAACAAGUACCGUGAGGGAAAGAUGAAAAGCACUUUGGAAAGAGAGUUAACAGUACGUGAAAUUGUUGGAAGGGAAACGCUUGAAGUCAGACUUGCUUGCCGAGCAAUCGGUUUGCAGGCCAGCAUCAGUUUUCUGGGGUGGAUAAUGGUAGAGAGAAGGUAGCAGUUCCGGCUGUGUUAUAGCUCUCUGCUGGAUACACCUUGGGGGACUGAGGAACGCAGUGUGCCUUACGGCGGAUUUCUCGAGAUCUUCACACUUAGGAUGCUGGUGGAAUGGCUUUAAACGAC